UGCUAAUCUGCGAUAAGCGCCGGUAAGGUGAUAUGAACCGUUAUAACCGGCGAUACCCGAAUGGGGAAACCCAGUGUGAUUCGUCACACUAUCAUUAACUGAAUCCAUAGGUUAAUGAGGCGAACCGGGGGAACUGAAACAUCUAAGUACCCCGAGGAAAAGAAAUCAACCGAGAUUCCCCCAGUAGCGGCGAGCGAACGGGGAGGAGCCCAGAGCCUGAAUCAGCAUGUGUGUUAGUGGAAGCGUCUGGAAAGGCGCGCGAUACAGGGUGACAGCCCCGUACACAAAAGCGCAUGUGCUGUGAGCUCGAUGAGUAGGGCGGGACACGUGGUAUCCUGUCUGAAUAUGGGGGGACCAUCCUCCAAGGCUAAAUACUCCUGACUGACCGAUAGUGAACCAGUACCGUGAGGGAAAGGCGAAAAGAACCCCGGCGAGGGGAGUGAAAAAGAACCUGAAACCGU
This 461-nucleotide ribosomal RNA is filed under the name Salmonella enterica. RNAcentral describes it as "partial 23S ribosomal RNA". It matches the Rfam family "Bacterial large subunit ribosomal RNA", at positions 59 to 559 of the family's 2925-position model. RNAcentral also lists the same sequence under 2 other names. Lineage: Bacteria; Pseudomonadati; Pseudomonadota; Gammaproteobacteria; Enterobacterales; Enterobacteriaceae. The record is from RNAcentral.